GGAACACCGAUGGCGAAGGCAAUCCCCUGGACCUGUACUGACGCUCAUGCACGAAAGCGUGGGGAGCAAACAGGAUUAGAUACCCUGGUAGUCCACGCCCUAAACGAUGUCAACUGGUUGUUGGGAAUUAGUUUUCUCAGUGCCGUAGCUAACGCGUUAAGUAUCCCGCCUGGGGAGUACGCACGCAAGUGUGAAACUCAAAGGAAUUGAC
RNAcentral lists this ribosomal RNA (211 nucleotides) under uncultured Delftia sp. RNAcentral describes it as "partial 16S ribosomal RNA". It matches the Rfam family "Bacterial small subunit ribosomal RNA", at positions 703 to 914 of the family's 1533-position model. The record is from RNAcentral. Lineage: Bacteria; Pseudomonadati; Pseudomonadota; Betaproteobacteria; Burkholderiales; Comamonadaceae.